UUGAACGCUGGCGGCAUGGCUAAAACAUGCAAGUCGAACGAGAACCUCGCAAGAGGGGACAGUGGCGGAAGGGUCAGUAACGCGAUCGAACGUACCCCGAGGUGGGGGAUAGCCGUGGGAAACCGCGGGUAAUACCCCAUGAUCUCUCCGGAGCAAAGGUUUACCGCCUUGGGAGCGGCGAUCGUCCUAUCAGGUAGUUGGCGGGGUAAUAGCCCACCAAGCCGAAGACGGGUAGCGGGUGUGAGAGCACCGACCCGCGACAUCGGGACUGAGACACUCGCCCCGGACUCCUACGGGGAGGCUGCAGUAACGAAUAUUCCGCAA
RNAcentral lists this ribosomal RNA (324 nucleotides) under uncultured bacterium. RNAcentral's name for it is "bacterial SSU rRNA". It matches the Rfam family "Bacterial small subunit ribosomal RNA", at positions 29 to 371 of the family's 1533-position model. The record is from RNAcentral.